AUGAACGCUGGCGGCGUGCCUAAUCCAUGCAAGUCGCGCGAACAGACGAGGAGCUUGCUCCUCUGACGUUAGCGGCGGACGGGUGAGUAACACGUGGAUAACCUACCUAUAAGACUGGGAUAACUUCGGGAAACCGGAGCUAAUACCGGAUAAUAUAUUGAACCGCAUGGUUCAAUAGUGAAAGACGGUUUUGCUGUCACUUAUAGAUGGAUCCGCGCCGCAUUAGCUAGUUGGUAAGGUAACGGCUUACCAAGGCAACGAUGCGUAGCCGACCUGAGAGGGUGAUCGGCCACACUGGAACUGAGACACGGUCCAGACUCCUACGGGAGGCAGCAGUAGGGAAUCUUCCGCAAUGGGCGAAAGCCUGACGGAGCAACGCCGCGUGAGUGAUGAAGGUCUUCGGAUCGUAAAACUCUGUUAUUAGGGAAGAACAAAUGUGUAAGUAACUAUGCACGUCUUGACGGUACCUAAUCAGAAAGCCACGGCUAGCUACGUG
This 496-nucleotide ribosomal RNA is filed under the name uncultured bacterium. RNAcentral's name for it is "partial 16S ribosomal RNA". It matches the Rfam family "Bacterial small subunit ribosomal RNA", at positions 29 to 507 of the family's 1533-position model. The record is from RNAcentral.